AGCUUAGCUCAGCUGGUUCAGAGCACUCCGAUACAUCGGAGGGGUCACUGGUUCGAACCCAGUAGUUCCCA
RNAcentral lists this transfer RNA (71 nucleotides) under Bacteroidota bacterium. RNAcentral's name for it is "Bacteroidetes bacterium (activated sludge metagenome) tRNA-OTHER". It matches the Rfam family "tRNA". Rfam says of the family: Transfer RNA (tRNA) molecules are approximately 80 nucleotides in length. Their secondary structure includes four short double-helical elements and three loops (D, anti-codon, and T loops). Further hydrogen bonds mediate the characteristic L-shaped molecular structure. tRNAs have two regions of fundamental functional importance: the anti-codon, which is responsible for specific mRNA codon recognition, and the 3' end, to which the tRNAs corresponding amino acid is attached (by aminoacyl-tRNA synthetases). tRNAs cope with the degeneracy of the genetic code in two manners: having more than one tRNA (with a specific anti-codon) for a particular amino acid; and 'wobble' base-pairing, i.e. permitting non-standard base-pairing at the 3rd anti-codon position. Lineage: Bacteria; Pseudomonadati; Bacteroidota. The record is from RNAcentral. RNAcentral also lists the same sequence under 1 other name.